CUCUAUAACUCUUUCUGUUUUCUCACGUUUAAGGGUUCUACUAUUUUCUAUACUAGGGUUUCCUAUACUAGUAGAGAACAACCAUAUCCCGGAUUCUAGACACAAGGAGGGAAUUUAAUGCAACCUCAAUGCGUUGACUUUUAGUAUUCAAUUGAAUUUAGGGGGAAAAGAAUAUUGAGGUGGUUAUAGCUCCGGACAGGCAAAGAAACCGAAGCGUCUCCGCGAUGCCGGCAUGCGAACCAAAAAUAGGGGAAAAAUCAGAGAUCUGGACAGGCAGAGGGACCGAAGCCACUCCGCGAUGCCAGCAACUUCGUCUAGGUGAUCAGGUACAAGGGAUAUGGUGAUCCUGUUUGAGUGAGGAAUUCGGUGGAUUAUAUAUCCCCUUCAUCCUUUUGUUCCCACGAGAGGCCACUAUUCGUUCGUCUCCCUCUAGGAGUCACAUAUUCAACUUAUCUUGUUUGCUCGGGGCCUUCUGAGGUACUCCCGGCGAUCGCGAAAUUAAAACAAUUGCUAGCUCGCUUCACGUAUACUGACCUACACACUUCCGUGGAUCAGUAUUCGUGUCGCUUACUUCUA
This 576-nucleotide unclassified non-coding RNA is filed under the name Athalia rosae (coleseed sawfly). Its description in RNAcentral is "misc RNA ENSAEAG00005007274.1". The record is from RNAcentral. Lineage: Eukaryota; Metazoa; Arthropoda; Insecta; Hymenoptera; Athaliidae.